UAGGGAAUCUUCGGCAAUGGACGGAAGUCUGACCGAGCAACGCCGCGUGAGUGAAGAAGGUUUUCGGAUCGUAAAGCUCUGUUGUUAGAGAAGAACGUUGGUAGGAGUGGAAAAUCUACCAAGUGACGGUAACUAACCAGAAAGGGACGGCUAACUACGUGCCAGCAGCCGCGGUAAUACGUAGGUCCCGAGCGUUGUCCGGAUUUCUUGGGCGUAAAGCGAGCGCAGGCGGUUCUUUAAGUCUGAAGUUAAAGGCAGUGGCUUAACCAUAGUACGCUUUGGAAACUGGAGGACUUGAGUGCAGAAGGGGAGAGUGGAAUUCCAUGUGUAGCGGUGAAAUGCGUAGAUAUAUGGAGGAACACCGGUGGCGAAAGCGGCUCUCUGGUCUGUAACUGACGCUGAGGCUCGAAAGCGUGGGGAGCAAACAGG
RNAcentral lists this ribosomal RNA (429 nucleotides) under Bacillota bacterium. RNAcentral's name for it is "Firmicutes bacterium partial 16S ribosomal RNA". It matches the Rfam family "Bacterial small subunit ribosomal RNA", at positions 355 to 776 of the family's 1533-position model. Lineage: Bacteria; Bacillati; Bacillota. The record is from RNAcentral.